UACGUAGGGCGCAAGCGUUAUCCGGAAUCAUUGGGUUUAAAGGGUCCGUAGGCGGCCAAAUAAGUCAGUGGUGAAAGCCCAUCGCUCAACGAUGGAACGGCCAUUGAUACUGUUUGGCUUGAAUUAUUAGGAAGUAACUAGAAUAUGUAGUGUAGCGGUGAAAUGCUUAGAGAUUACAUGGAAUACCAAUUGCGAAGGCAGGUUACUACUAAUAUAUUGACGCUGAUGGACGAAAGCGUGGGGAGCGAACAGG
RNAcentral lists this ribosomal RNA (253 nucleotides) under uncultured bacterium. Its description in RNAcentral is "partial 16S ribosomal RNA". It matches the Rfam family "Bacterial small subunit ribosomal RNA", at positions 524 to 776 of the family's 1533-position model. The record is from RNAcentral.